UGAAGGUCCUCCGGAUUGUAAACUUCUUUCUCUGGGGCGAAAAAUAGGUAUUCUUACUUACUUGACAGUACCAGAGGAAUAAGCACCGGCUAACUCCGUGC
Molecule: ribosomal RNA, 101 nt
Filed under: uncultured bacterium
Lineage: Bacteria
Description: partial 16S ribosomal RNA
Source: RNAcentral